Molecule: ribosomal RNA, 607 nt
Filed under: uncultured bacterium
Lineage: Bacteria
Description: bacterial SSU rRNA
Rfam family: Bacterial small subunit ribosomal RNA (bases 1-532)
Source: RNAcentral
CCUACGGGAGGCAGCAGUAGGGAAUAUUGGGCAAUGGAGGCAACUCUGACCCAGCCAUGCCGCGUGCAGGAUGAAGGCGUUAUGCGUUGUAAACUGCUUUUAUAUAGGAAGAAAGAGUUCUUGCGAGAACAGUUGAUGGUACUAUAUGAAUAAGCACCGGCUAACUCCGUGCCAGCAGCCGCGGUAAUACGGAGGGUGCAAGCGUUGUCCGGAUUUAUUGGGUUUAAAGGGUGCGUAGGCGGUUUAUUAAGUCAGUGGUGAAAGACGGUCGCUCAACGAUUGCAGUGCCAUUGAUACUGGUAGACUUGAGUGAGAUUGAGGUAGCUGGAAUGGAUAGUGUAGCGGUGAAAUGCAUAGAUAUUAUCCAGAACACCAAUUGCGUAGGCAAGUUACUAAGUCUCAACUGACGCUGAGGCACGAAAGUGUGGGUAUCAAACAGGAUUAGAUACCCUGGUAGUCCACACUGUAAACGAUGAUAACUAACUGUUGGCUUUCGGGUCAGUGGUACAGAGAAAUCGUUAAGUUAUCCUACGUGGUUGUUAGUCGCGACGUAGAACGUUAAUUAGAGUUAGAGNGNGAGAGNGCGAGGCGACGACGAGGGAGGAGG